AACAGCCAGCAAGACUGGCAACUCUCAGGGCCACCGUCACACAUGGACAGCUGGUAGAAUGCUAGUGUGGGCAAGCAGCAGUGCACUUGAACUGACGUGGACACUCAGGUUAGAGCCAGAAGAACCAUUAAAUGCCUGCAUGACUUCAUGGGUUUCCUGUUUUCCCGUCUCAGGCUGGGAGUGGAUUGAGUAACUUAAUGGCUGAAGAAUUUUAAUGGUGAAAGCAAAGGAAAAUGCCUGCAGAGAACCAUGCUGACCUCCCAGUCUCCCAACCCUGUGAAACUGAGGCCCUGAGUAAAGAUUCCAGCUCACUAAGACCAACCGGUACUAAGCAGUAACAGCUUAGGCAGCUGCCAUGGAAACAGCAUCCACAUCUAUAAUGUGACUAAUGAGCCGUCAAAGAUACCACCAAGAAAUUAAGGCAAAGAAGCUAAUAAUCGCUUUUGCAUAUCAUAUCCAACCACAUGUAUUCAAAGGAUAGAUAAUCUCUUGUGGCUACAAAAGUUCCACACAGGAGCAACACAACUUCAAAUACCUCACUCAACUGCUGAGAUGUGUAACAUACAGAAGAGAAGUCAUAAAGAAAUGAUUAGUAAGGACCUGCUGGGGGCAGGGUCUGCAUUUGUUCAAAGUCACUGUAGCCCACCAUCCUGGAAACAUCGGAGAAAGUUCAAAGGGGACAGAUGGUCUUUGUAUUGAGGAUCAAGGCCAGGACUGCCAUUCUCAAAUCCUGCACAGUUGUUCCUAACAGAAGAUCCAUACAAUGGGAGAAUCAUGGGAUCCCUGUCUUGUCUCAGUUCAAGAAAACCACCUUCCCUUUAGGCACAACCUGCUCCAGGAUCCUGCAUAGCUGCCUGCUUUUUAAGACUUUGAAAGAAAGUUGCCUUUGUUUCUCAGUUUUAUAACUUUCUGGACCAAUCAAACAUUUCAGUUUAUAUUUUCCUUGAUUUUUAAAAUGAAUUAUUUUUAUCUUUAUCUGGAUAUAAUUGAUAAAUGCAGUCUGUUUUUAAGGUGUGCAACUUGAUAUGUUGAAUAAAGUGUAUAGACUUAGAAACGACAAGCACAAUAAAGAUAGACAAUGCACCUGUCACCUCAUGAUUACCUCUGCGUAUGUAUAUGUUUGUAAUGAGAGCAGUUAAGAUCAACCAAGUGUGCAACACUGUAUGGCUAUGAAUCCCAGGCUACACAUUACUCCUCCAGAACUUACUCAUCACACAAAACUAAAGAUUAAUACUUGGGACAGCAUCUUCCCUUUUUAGCAAUCUCAACACUUAGCAACCAUAAUUUUUUUACCCAGUGUCUCUGUAAGUUCAACCAUUUUUUAUUCCACAUUAGUGAGGCCAUGUGGGAUUUGCCUCUUUGUGUCUGGCUUAUUUCAGUUCACUUGGUGUUUCCUAGUUCAUGUAUGGCAUCACAAAGGUAGGAUUUUCCUCUCUUUUAAAAUGAGUUUUUGUUUACUUAUAGGAAUGCUUUGCCUGCGUGUAUGUAUGUGCCCCAUGAGCAUGCAGUACCUGCAGAGGGCAGAAGAGGGCAGAAUUCACUUGAACUGGAGUUACAAAUGUUUGUAAGUCACCAUGUGGGUGCCAGGAACCAAAACUAGGUCCUCUACAAGAUCAGCAAGUACUCCUAACCUCCGAGCCAUCAUUUCAGCCGUCAGGGUUCCCUUCUUUCUUAAGAUCACAUAAUAGUCCAUCAAGUGCCCACAUCGUACAUUCUUUCUCCAUUUACCUUUUAAUGAGAUUGUGCUUAUAUCCACAUCUUUACUCUCUAUUAAUAGUGUAGUGAUGAAUACAGGAGUAGAGCUCUAUCUUGAACAUCAUGCUUUCAUUUUCUUUGGAUAUAAUACUGAGAAGUGGCAUUGACUGGUCAUUUAGUAAUUGUACUAUUAAUGUUUUGCUUUGGUUUUUUUUUUUUUUUUGGUGUGGAAUCUCCUCACUGUUUUCCUAAAUGUUUAUAUUGGCAUCCUCAUCAACAAUGUACUGCAGUCCCCUCUUCUCCACAUCUUUGCCAGCAUCUUUAUAACCGUCAUGCGGUGGUGUCUCAUUGUGGUUUUUGAUUUGCAUUUCCCUAAGUAUUACUGAUUGUCCUCCUUUGCUGUAAUAAACAUCUUGGCCAAAAGCAA
This is a long non-coding RNA of Mesocricetus auratus (golden hamster), 2122 nucleotides long. RefSeq lists it as uncharacterized. The record is from RefSeq and is a predicted model, not a curated record. NCBI's taxonomy places the organism in Eukaryota, Metazoa, Chordata, Mammalia, Rodentia, Cricetidae. The transcript is spliced from 4 exons.